CAAGGAAUUGAAAUUGGAGUAGCAAUCAUAGGAAUUGAAAAUGCAUUCAAUUUUUUUUUUUUAAAUUUAAAGAAUAAAUGCUUAUUUAAACUAGAUCAUAUCAAUUUGACUCGAAAAGAGAGAGAUCAAAUUUGAACUAGUACUCGGAUUUGAUUUUGAUUUAUAGUUGACCAAUUCAAUUCGAGUUCUGAUCUAAACCAAACCAAGGCUGGAUCUAAAAUAUUAGACCGUCUUAACAGCGGUACUACUCGUGCUUGGCAUCACAGACACUAGCUGACAAGACUAAGAGCUCUGGCCAUGUUUUAAAAUGGAUAGAUCGCAAGAGUAACAUCUACGAGACAAUUCCCAAGGGGAUGGGUUAAAUGAAAACUCUUUGAGCUUCAAAUUAGACAGAACAUUAUGGGCAAUGUGAUCACUAUUCAAUUCAUCAGCACAUUUUAUUGCAUCCUCUGUAUUUCAUGGUUUUGCCUUGUGAUCACUAUGGCAUAAGGAAAAUCAUUGCCAAUUACACGGAUUAAAAUGCAUUUUUUUUCUUUGUAAACUGGCCAUCUCAUACAGUGUAAUCCAGCAAGUGGUUUCCAAGAAAUUCCCCCCAAUAAUACAUCCAAUCACAAGUAA
RNAcentral lists this unclassified non-coding RNA (618 nucleotides) under Hevea brasiliensis (rubber tree). The record is from RNAcentral. Lineage: Eukaryota; Viridiplantae; Streptophyta; Magnoliopsida; Malpighiales; Euphorbiaceae.